Molecule: long non-coding RNA, 745 nt
Filed under: Phasianus colchicus (ring-necked pheasant)
Lineage: Eukaryota; Metazoa; Chordata; Aves; Galliformes; Phasianidae
Description: lncRNA (ENSPCLG00000020797.1)
Source: RNAcentral
AGAAGGCCUAGAUUUUCUCCAUUCUGAAACAGGCUUCUUGUUUGACAUUGGAAAAGUCACCUAAUUUCUUCAUAUCUCACCUGGCCAUCUGUAAAGCAGAAAUGAUGUUUCCCUACUGUGUACUUGGGUAGUAAUAUUACUUUUCUAUAUUAGGCAGUGUUCACAAGUGUGAUAGGAGAACCAAUAUACUUCAAAAGGCAUUGUUAAUCUCCUGUGUGCAGAUCACUCAAAGGAUCUAGUGACUUACAAAAUGGAUAUGAGGCCUACCCUUCAGAAAAAUACAACUAAUUUAAUACUCACUUAAGUAAAGGAGACGUUUUCUACCUUCUUUAGGGAGAAUCAGUGAACAGUCAUAUCAUAAUAACUAAUGGGCAUAUCUCCAUGGUCUCUGUGAAUGUCUAUUCACAAGCAAGAAGAUGGAGUCUGGUACAUUGAAGUUAUUCCCUACUACAAGUUGGGAAGAAACAUGAAGGCACUGUACAGCACAAAGAUGUUUGAACAUAGUCAUGCCUUUAUUAUUGUUACUUGAGCAAUAUGCAAUGCUGAAAAUGUGGGUAAGAUGGAGAUCAAAAUGUAUCAUAUUUUAAUUGAAUUCAGUUAUGCUUUUCAAAUGGUUCUUCUAUCCCAGUGGGAAUGAUCCAUGGCAAGAUAAUGUUGCUUAAUAGUUUUAUUUCUAAAAUGCACCUUCUUCUCUCUAUGCAUGCAAGUGCUUUACAGCUCAAUAAAAACCAUUGUGAAACAGACA